RNAcentral lists this ribosomal RNA (279 nucleotides) under uncultured bacterium. Its description in RNAcentral is "partial 16S ribosomal RNA". It matches the Rfam family "Bacterial small subunit ribosomal RNA", at positions 506 to 784 of the family's 1533-position model. The record is from RNAcentral.
UGCCAGCCGCCGCGGUAAUACGGAGGAUCCAAGCGUUAUCCGGAAUCAUUGGGUUUAAAGGGUCCGCAGGCGGUUUUUUAAGUCAGAGGUGAAAUCCUAUCGCUCAACGAUAGAACUGCCUUUGAUACUGAAAGACUUGAGUUAUUGUGAAGUGGUUAGAAUAUGUAGUGUAGCGGUGAAAUGCAUAGAUAUUACAUAGAAUACCGAUUGCGAAGGCAGAUCACUAACAAUAUACUGACGCUGAGGGACGAAAGCGUGGGUAGCGAACAGGAUUAGAUA